This 903-nucleotide ribosomal RNA is filed under the name Staphylococcus sp. N3SM26. RNAcentral's name for it is "partial 16S ribosomal RNA". The record is from RNAcentral. Lineage: Bacteria; Bacillati; Bacillota; Bacilli; Caryophanales; Staphylococcaceae.
ACAACGGACAGGGGANGCGGAGUCUGGAUUCUGAAUUGGAACGCUUUGCAGNAUCUGGANACGNACACAUCCGAAANGUGGGGGGAACGGGCAAAAAAACACACACUCGAAAACCAACCUUUCANGAACAACUNACACUGACGUUGUUUAAACGGGGACGUUGGGAAAACUGAACCAACGGGGGUGAUUGACUAAAAUUGUACACUGGAUAUAUGGAAAUGACACACACAACGAACUAUAUACGAACAAACAUUGACANGNACGUUGNCANGUUUUAAACANGAAACCACAAGAAAAAAAGAUACAACAAUUACGAACACAACUAGAGAUGAGUAACACUACAANUANUACUACUGACGNCAGUAAUCAACAGACUAAAAAUUGGAAAGUUCCAACUUUUAACUACUUACUGACAACCUAAAAGGUAAUUAACAAGAUUAUAAACAAAAUUGAAACCCAAUACCAAAACAGAGAUAUAGAAAGAACACGGUGGGGGGGCCUUUUUUCAACAAGUUCAAGAAACCUUAAAAAAAAAAAACACGACACCUAACGACGACGACUAUUAACGAACAAAAUAAAUAAACAGGAUAAAGACUUGACACACUACGUAUUACAGCGGCUGCUGGCACGUAGUUAGCCGUGGCUUUCUGAUCAGGUAAAAAUCAAGAUGUGCACAAGUUACUUACACAUUUUGGUUCUUCCCUGAUUAACAGAGUUUUUACGAUUCCGAAGACCUUCAUCACUCACGCGGCGUUGCUCCGUCAGGCUUUCGCCCAUUGCGGAAGAUUCCCUACUGCUGCCUCCCGUAGGAGUCUGGACCGUGUCUCAGUUCCAGUGUGGCACGAUCACACCCUCUGCAAAGGUAAGGGCUAACGUUAUUUCCGUUUUAAACAAUUUGGGGUA